Molecule: small RNA, 352 nt
Filed under: Arabidopsis thaliana (thale cress)
Lineage: Eukaryota; Viridiplantae; Streptophyta; Magnoliopsida; Brassicales; Brassicaceae
Description: ATSL198320
Source: RNAcentral
UGUGUUAGAAGAUACAAAGCCAAAGACUUAUACGGACUUCAGCUACACUAUUAAAGUUUUGAGAAGCAAUAAGAAGCUUGGUUAGUGUUUUGGAGUCAAAUAUGACUAGAUGUCAUGUGUAUGAUUGAGUAUAAGAACUAGAACUACAACCGGUUCCCAAAAUCUAAAGUAGUGUUUCCUUGUUAGAAAAUACAAAGCCGAAGACUCAUACGUACUUCGGCUACACCAUCAAUGCUUUGAGAAGCAAUAAGAAGCUUGGUUAGUAUUUUGGAGUCAAAUAAGACAAGAUGUUAUGUGUUUGAUUGAGUAUAAGAACUAGAACCGCAACAUCUUCCCAAAAGCUAAAGUAAUA